GACGAACGCUGGCGGCGUGCUUAACACAUCCAAGUCGAACGGAAAGGCCCUGCUUUUGUGGGGUGCUCGAGUGGCGAACGGGUGAGUAACACGUGAGUAACCUGCCCUUGACUUUGGGAUAACUUCAGGAAACUGGGGCUAAUACCGGAUAGGAGCUCCUGCUGCAUGGUGGGUGUUGGAAAGUUUCGGCGGUUGGGGAUGGACUCGCGGCUUAUCAGCUUGUUGGUGGGGUAGUGGCUUACCAAGGCUUUGACGGGUAGCCGGCCUGAGAGGGUGACCGGCCACAUUGGGACUGAGAUACGGCCCAGACUCCUACGGGAGGCAGCAGUGGGGAAUAUUGCACAAUGGGCGGAAGCCUGAUGCAGCAACGCCGCGUGCGGGAUGACGGCCUUCGGGUUGUAAACCGCUUUCGCCUGUGACGAAGCGUGAGUGACGGUAAUGGGUAAAGAAGCACCGGCUAACUACGUG
RNAcentral lists this ribosomal RNA (468 nucleotides) under uncultured bacterium. RNAcentral describes it as "partial 16S ribosomal RNA". It matches the Rfam family "Bacterial small subunit ribosomal RNA", at positions 28 to 507 of the family's 1533-position model. The record is from RNAcentral.